This 216-nucleotide ribosomal RNA is filed under the name Clostridioides difficile. RNAcentral describes it as "partial 23S ribosomal RNA". It matches the Rfam family "Bacterial large subunit ribosomal RNA", at positions 422 to 640 of the family's 2925-position model. Lineage: Bacteria; Bacillati; Bacillota; Clostridia; Peptostreptococcales; Peptostreptococcaceae. The record is from RNAcentral.
ACACGUGAAACCCUGUGGGAAGCAGGAGGGACCACCCUCCAAGGCUAAAUACUACCUAGUGACCGAUAGCGUAUAGUACCGUGAGGGAAAGGUGAAAAGAACCCCGGGAGGGGAGUGAAAUAGAACCUGAAACCCUGCACUUACAAGCUGUGGAAGCACAUUUCUUGUGUGACCGCGUACUUUUUGUAGAACGGGCCAACGAGUUACGUUAAGUAG